AGAGUAGUAAUUUAAAAAAAAAUAUUUAUUUUGCAUAUAAAAAUUAUAGAUUCUAUCUACUUUA
This 64-nucleotide transfer RNA is filed under the name Megalurothrips usitatus (bean blossom thrips). RNAcentral's name for it is "tRNA-Ala". The record is from RNAcentral. Lineage: Eukaryota; Metazoa; Arthropoda; Insecta; Thysanoptera; Thripidae.